ACUGAAUAGCCGUUGUUCUUCCCAGGGAUCAAAGCAGCUGGUGGUGGCUAUGGCCACUCUCUGAGCCACAUCCGGGUGUAAGAACCAUGACAUUCUAUUGCUGUGGACACCGUUAAAAACUCAGAAGACAGGAAAUAGAGUUGGGCACAGAUUUGAAAUGUCUGCACAGCGACCAGCGAGGACCUCCGGCUCAACAGAGAAAAAUGGGAGCUUUGAUCCCCAGCUGUUCCCCAAAGAACCAAAGAUCACUGCAGUCUGACUUUUACAGACUCCGGACCGCCGUUGCAGCCUGUGACUCCGAGGUGCAAACUCGGCCAACCCAGAGAGGUAAUUUUUGGGGGACUCAGAGGCCCUGCAGGAGAAGCUGGUGCGCUUUGUCAUCGAGCAACACACCUGGUCCCGGACUCAGAGAGGCUGAAAGGCGAUCCAGCAGGAGCUGAGGAAGCUGCAGCCUGGCUGCCACCUGCCACCAGCAAGAGCAGAAUGCGCCAGUUGCUACCGCUUUCAUUUCUGAUGCUUUACAAAGGCCAAGCUGAAGACUGCACCACCAGAAGCUUGGCUCCAUCUCCUCUUCCUGACUGGUGAUGCUUAGCAGUCCUGUCCUCUAGCUGAGUGGGUCUGGAAGGUGUGUCUCCCCCAACACACACCUCCUGGCGCGCUUCCCUGGGGCUGUGCUCCUGGCCAAACGGAGUGGUUUUCAGAGGCAGGAGAGAAGAGUGUGGUGUGAAUGGCUGAGAAUACCAGCUUUGGCUCAGGGCAGUGAGGUGAGUGGGACAAAGAAAUACUGCAAGGGCUUCUACAGUAUUUUCUUUCUUAAAAAAAAAAAAGAAAGAAAGAAUCUGCAGCAAAUAUGGCACAAUGUUAAGACUUUAUCAAGUUGGUUAAAGUCCAAGCUAUGUGUAUUCAUCCAUCUAUCUAUCUAUCGAUCGAUCGAUCCAUCCAUCCAUCCAUCCAUCUUUUUAUGGCCCCACUUGCGGCAUAUGGAAGUUUCCAGGCUAGUGGUCAAAUUGAAGCUGCAGCUGCAGACCUAUGCCACAACCAUGGCAAAGCGGGAUCCAAGGCACAUCUUGCGGCAAUACCAGAUCUUGAACCCACUGAGCAAGGCCAGAGGUUGAACCCAUAUCCUUAUGGACAUUAUCUCGAGUUCUUAACCCACUGAGCCACAACAGGAACUCCAUAUAUUUUUGAAAUACCUUAUAAGGUAGCUUUUUCUCCUUUUCCAACAUAGUUUAUUAUAAAGUAUUGUGUUCUGUAUCCUGUGCUCUACAGUAGGACCUUGUUGUUUAUUUUAUACAUAGUAGUAUCUGCUAAUUCCAAACUCCCAAUUUAUCCCUCCCAUUCCCUUCCCUGUUUGGUAACCAUAAGUUUGUCUUCUGUGUCUGUGACUCUGUUUUGUAAGUAAGUUCAUUUGUAUAAAUUUUUAGGUUCCAUAUAUGUGUUAUCCUAUGAUAUUUGUCUUUCUCUCACUUACUUAAAUGAUAAUCUCUAGGUCCAUCCUUAUUGCUGCAGAUGGCAUCUUUUCAUUCAUUUUUGGCUGAGUAGUGCUCCAUUUGUAUGUGUGUGUGGUACUGCAUAUUCUUUACGCAUUCAUCUGUCAGUGGACACUUAGGUUGCUUCCAUGUUCUGACGAUUGUAAAUAGUGCUGCUGUGAACAUUGGGGUGCAGGUAUCCUUCACAUUAGAGCUUUUGCAUUUUCUGGAUCUACACCCAGGAGUGGGAUUGCUGGAUCAGAUGUUAACUCUAUUUUUAGUUUUUUAAGGAACCUCCAUACUUUUCUCCAGAGCGGCUGCACCAAUUUACAUUCCCACCAAGAACGUAGAAGGGUUCCUUUUUCUCCACACCCUCUCCAGCAUUUAUUAUUUGUAGACUUUUUCGAUGAUAGUUGUUCUGACUGGGGUGAGGUUGAUACCUCAUUGCAGUUUUGAUUUGCAUUCCUCUAGUAAUUAGCGAUACUGAGGUUCUUUUCAUGUGCCUGUUAGCCAUUACAGCUUUGUUUCAAAAAAUACGUGCAAAGUGAGGUGUUGGACUUAAAAUAAUUUGCUGUGUUUAAUGAGUUUGUACAGAAUCUGCCGUGUGGAUGGGAAUUUGGGUAUUGAAAUAUGCCCAGCCUUUCAGUGACUUCCUGAGCACACCAUUGAGAUCAAGGCUGAAACAGUCUUUUCCUCAAAAUAGAGUCAGACGUCUGACUCACAGACACAAGGUAGACUCUUGAAGGAUAUGAACGUUUCUUCAAAUGGGACUUUCUUUGUGGUGGUAAUUUUUAUAUUUUCCAUCCAGAGGCAGUUUAUUUCUCAAGAUGGGUCCUUGCUGGGUACAAAGAGAUGUAUUUGUGCAGUCAUUCAUUGCCCAUGGCCAGGACACUUGGGCCUGGGGGUUGGUCGCCCAUGUGGAGAUUUUCUGUGGGGUUCCAGAACAACUGUGUCGAGAGGCCACCAUACCCUCACCUUCUGUGCAGUGGGCAUGUGUAAGUGUUCCCAGAUCUCUGCCCAUUGCUCAGGGAUGGUGCUCCUGGUGGAGACUCAGAGCCCUGGGGGUUGGCCAGGGCAGCAAGUUCAUGCCCGGAAUGGAGACAAGCCUUAAUUUGCUUCUGAGAUGGUUGAGGACCAGGGCAGCACUAUUUAUGGAGCCCUGGACCACUUCAUUAUGACCCAGUGCUGUUUCGAUGUUGUUUGGUUUGGUUUGGUUUCUCUGUUGAGGUAUAUAAUUACCCUUUCCUUGGCUAUGAACUUUCAGAAUACGGAGAGGCCACACACCCAAGGACCUCUUACAACUAGUGGUGACCUGCUUGACUUUCUAGGAGGAUCUGCCUGGCCAUCUCAGCCAGUCCUCUGGGCAGCAGCAAAGUGCCCAGGCGGGCUAAGUGUGUGCAGCAGAGAUUCGGAAGUCAGAGGUGGGCUGCCAUGUCUUGGCCUUGUGUCAUGGCUUGAAUGAACUGCCUUUUUCUCAUCUUUCUCCUGGCCAUGAUAGUAUCCAAAGCAAAAUGUUGCUGAAUAAAUGAAAGAGCCCCUGGUGGCUGAUUUGAGCAACAAAAUAUAGUGGUAUUGCAUCGUAAUCCAAAGCAUAAAGCAAAUAUCCAUGAGUCUGUACUGAUAGAAAGGAAUGAUUGAUAAAUUAAUAAAUGAGGGCAAAGACUCACAUCUUCCAUGCAGAUGAAUUCCAAGUAAUUUAUGCAGAUAUUUCAUCCUAAAGGAGAGGCUAUACAUAGCAACUUCCUUCCAAGUAAGAGGAACUUUCCAGGGGAGAGUUCCUCCUCCGCUAGGUAAAUAAGGUCAGCAGCAGCAGUCAUAAAUCGUGUCGCUAGCAUGGACCCUUGAUGUGUUGUGAUGAAAAGAGCACUUUACUUCUUUGAUCUUCCUCCCCUAAACUCACAACCUCAAUCUAAUCAUGAGGAAAACACCAGACAAAUUCUGAUACUAGGACAUCCCACCCUGUACUUGACCAGUGCUCCUCAAAACGGUCAAGGUCAUCAAAAAACAGGAAAGCCUGAGAAACUGUCAGAGCCCGGAAGAACCUAAGGAGACAAGAACAACCAAAUGUCAUGUGGCAUCCUGGACAGGAGGGUCCUGGAACAGAAAAAAGACAUUGGCUUAAAACCAUAGAAAUCUGAAUCAAUGAUGGAACUUAAUAAUAGGAUAUGAAUAUUAGUUCAUUGAUGGUGACCAAUGUACCAUACUAAUGUAAGAUGCCAUUAAUAGGGGAAUUCUUAGUGUGGGGUGGAGGACUAUGUGAGAAUGAUGUAGAAUCUCUGCAAUUUUCCCUGUAAAUUAAAAAAUAAAGCUUAUUUAUUAGAAAAUUUUUAAAACCAGAAAAAACAUGAAGAGAUGGUUAUAACAAACAUUUGUGUUCCACACAUGCAUGAAUAAUUAAGAUUUCAUCAUAUUUACUUUGACAAUAUUAAUAAAUGAAUUAUUAAAUUAAAAGGGUUGCUGGGAAGAUCAACUGAAAAUAUGGCUGUAUCUAUAAAAUAGAUAAAGAACAAGGGUUUACUGUAUGACAUGGAGAACUAUAUUCAGUAUCUUAUAAUAACCUAUGAUGGAGAAGAAUCUGAAAAAAAGUGUAAUGAAUCAUUUGCUAUACACCUGAAACUAACAUGAUAUGGUAAAUCAACCAUACCUCAAUUAAAAAAAUAUUUUUUUUAAGUCCCGUAACCCCCCAACCACCCUCACCCCCAAAGAUGGAUGUAAAAGUACUAUAGCACCGUCUUGAACGGGGACAGAAAUACUGCUGUGCCACUGCGAGGUCUAGCUUUGACAAGACUGACUGCUUCUGCCUUCUUCCUUCUGGAACUCAACUGCCAUGCUGUGAGGCAGCCCAUGUCGCCAUGUGGAGGAGCCCAGGAUUCUUCUCCACUUGUCGCUGAAGUCCUAGCCGACAGCCAGCACUGGCUCGCCAGGAACGUGAGUGAAUCACCUGGAAAAUGCAUCUUCCAGCUCCAGCCAAACUGACCCUGCUGAUGCCCAUUGGAGCAGACAGGAAUUGUCCCCACCAGGCUCUGCCCAACUGCAAAAUCAUAAGCAAAUAUAUGAUCUUCCUGGUUUUAAAGCUUGAUUUGGGGAUGAUUUGUUACAUAGCAAACACUGUACAAAAAGAAAUAUUUGACCUCAUGUUCUAUCAUUUAUUUAUUUAUUUUAAAAAAUUCUUCCACAGGUUGAGAUGUUUCCCAAAAUGCUUCACACAUUUUCUGCGAUGACAUAUUUUACAACUAUUCUGUAGACUCAGGUCCUAGCUCUUCGUCAUGGGGAGAGCUUCCAGCCAUAAAUACCAUUUUAGGGAAGAGUUUCCUGAAGAGUGCCCUGUGGAAUGGAAGACCUACACAGUUCUCUAGAGCUGCAGUGUCCAAUAUGGUAGCCAUAAAUGGCUACCAAGCACUUGAAAUGUGGCUAGUUUGAGAGGUACUGGAAGCAUACACAACUCACCAGGCUUUGCCCAAACUCACCAGACUUUUUUCUUCAAAAAAGAAUGGAAAAUAUCUCCUUAAUAACUUUGUAUUAUGUGUUGAACUGAUACUAUUUGGAUGUAUUGUAUUAAAUAAGAUAUAUUCUCAAAA
This 5047-nucleotide long non-coding RNA is filed under the name Sus scrofa (pig). RNAcentral's name for it is "lncRNA (ENSSSCG00025033127.1)". The record is from RNAcentral. Lineage: Eukaryota; Metazoa; Chordata; Mammalia; Artiodactyla; Suidae.